UCUUUGUGAAAUAUAAAUAAAGAGUCGGGCCUGCUCGGUGAAUAAGUUUUUAACAGCUGCGGUAUUUUAACUGUACUAAGGUAGCRUAAUAAUUUGCCUUAUAAUUUGAGGCUAGAAUGAAUGGUUUGACGAAGGUUAAUCUGUCUCCGCUUUAUUUUUUAGAAUUUAAUUUUUAAAGUGAAAAAGCUUAAAUUUUUUAAAGGGACGAGAAGACCCUAAUGAGCUUAUAAUUUUAUUAUUGNNNNCAAAACAUUUGGUCAAUAAUAUAUAAAUUUUAAUUGGGGUGAUUGAGGGAUAAAUUAGAUAAAGUAACUUCCUUAAACUAAAUAUUUAUAGAUAAAGUAACCAAUAUAAUAUUGCUUAUAAUAUAGUUANNAUAGGGAUAACAGSGUAAUUUGUUUAGAGAGGUUCUUAUUGAAAAACGAGAUUGSGACCUCGAUGUUGGAUUAAAGUAACCUUAAGGUGCAGAAGCUUUAGUAAGGUAAAUCUGUUCGAUUUUUAAUACUUUAC
Molecule: ribosomal RNA, 510 nt
Filed under: Sthenoteuthis oualaniensis
Lineage: Eukaryota; Metazoa; Mollusca; Cephalopoda; Oegopsida; Ommastrephidae
Description: partial 16S ribosomal RNA
Rfam family: Bacterial large subunit ribosomal RNA
Source: RNAcentral